GCAGCUCAGGUCUUGUCAGUGAGACGCGUGGUUGCCUUCCACGAGGGCCCGGUGCGACCCCGGGGAGCUGCUC
RNAcentral lists this transfer RNA (73 nucleotides) under Nannocystis exedens. Its description in RNAcentral is "tRNA-Gly". The record is from RNAcentral. Lineage: Bacteria; Pseudomonadati; Myxococcota; Nannocystales; Nannocystaceae.